This 326-nucleotide ribosomal RNA is filed under the name cf. Paramicromerys sp. CAS4. RNAcentral's name for it is "partial 12S ribosomal RNA". Lineage: Eukaryota; Metazoa; Arthropoda; Arachnida; Araneae; Pholcidae. The record is from RNAcentral.
AUUUUAUAUACUAAAGGUAGUAAUAUAAUAAUAAACCUAUAUUUAAUGGCGGUCUAGUUAAUUUAGAGAAACUCGCUUUAUAAUCGAUAAUACCCGUUAAAUCUCACUUGUAAAUUAAAGUUUAUAUACCGCCGUUUAAAGACUCUUAUUAAUAAUAAUACUCAUACAAUCUUAAAAUAAAAAAUCAGGUCAAGGUGUAGCCAAUAUUUAAGUAAAAGUAAGUUACAUUAAAAACAAUUUAAGGAACUUUUUUAAAAAAACAAUCGAAAAAGAAUUUAAAUGUAAAUAAAACCCAAAAACUUUUUUUGAAUAUUUUAACAAGACGC